ACGAACGCUGGCGGCAGGCCUAACACAUGCAAGUCGAACGCCGUAGCAAUACGGAGUGGCAGACGGGUGAGUAACACGUGGGAACAUACCCUUCGGUUCGGAAUAAACUCAGGGAAACGUUAGAGCUAAUACCGGAUACGUCCGCGAGGAGAAAGAUUCAUCGCCGGAGGAUUGGCCCGCGUCUGAUUAGCUUGUUGGUGAGGUAACGGCUCACCAAGGCGACGAUCAGUAGCGGUCUGAGAGGAUGAUCAGCCA
Molecule: ribosomal RNA, 255 nt
Filed under: uncultured bacterium
Lineage: Bacteria
Description: partial 16S ribosomal RNA
Rfam family: Bacterial small subunit ribosomal RNA
Source: RNAcentral